AUUGUAGCACAGUGAACAGUGUGUUAGACUUCUAUUCCAAAGGUGGUGGUUUCGAUCCCAACCAGAGGUG
Henosepilachna vigintioctopunctata is the source of this 70-nucleotide non-coding RNA. NCBI's taxonomy places the organism in Eukaryota, Metazoa, Arthropoda, Insecta, Coleoptera, Coccinellidae. The record is from the annotation of a GenBank genome assembly.